RNAcentral lists this ribosomal RNA (468 nucleotides) under uncultured bacterium. RNAcentral describes it as "partial 16S ribosomal RNA". It matches the Rfam family "Bacterial small subunit ribosomal RNA", at positions 28 to 507 of the family's 1533-position model. The record is from RNAcentral.
GACGAACGCUGGCGGCGUGCUUAACACAUGCAAGUCGAACGGAAAGGCCCUGCUUUUGUGGGGUGCUCGAGUGGCGAACGGGUGAGUAACACGUGAGUAACCUGCCCUUGACUUUGGGAUAACUUCAGGAAACUGGGGCUAAUACCGGAUAGGAGCUCCUGCUGCAUGGUGGGGGUUGGAAAGUUUCGGCGGUUGGGGAUGGACUCGCGGCUUAUCAGCUUGUUGGUGGGGUAGUGGCUUACCAAGGCUUUGACGGGUAGCCGGCCUGAGAGGGUGACCGGCCACAUGGGGACUGAGAUACGGCGCAGACUCCUACGGGAGGCAGCAGUGGGGAGUAUUGCACAAUGGGCGGAAGCCUGAUGCAGCAACGCCGCGUGCGGGAUGACGGCCUUCGGGUUGUAAACCGCUUUCGCCUGUGACGAAGCGUGAGUGACGGUAAUGGGUAAAGAAGCACCGGCUAACUACGUG